Molecule: non-coding RNA, 540 nt
Organism: Girardinichthys multiradiatus
Lineage: Eukaryota; Metazoa; Chordata; Actinopteri; Cyprinodontiformes; Goodeidae
Source: the annotation of a RefSeq genome assembly
CCCUGUUGGAGUCAGUCAGAACAUUUCCAUAGAGAUCCACUUUGCAUCAGCAGCACCAUGCUCCAGUGCUCUGGGAGAGUUUAUAGUCCUGAGAGUUGAACACUGGAUGACUGACAGUUGUCCUUCAUCACAACAGAAGACACAGAAAUCCUCCUCAUCAAAAACAUGACUUUGAUCUACGUCCUCAUCUGGACUCUCCUCUGCUGCUGCUUCACAGAGUCCAGAGGUCAGGUCACAGUGACUCAGCCUGCAGCAGAGAGAGCUGAUCUGGGAGGAUCUGUCACCAUCAGAUGUAGGACCAGUCACAGGGUAGAUGAUGGAGAAGAUCAGUUUUGGUACCAACAGAGAGACAAAGAGUCUCCUAAACUGAUUUUCAGUUAUGGCAAUCGGAAGGUUGCAGGAACUCCAGACCGUUUUUCUGCCAGAGGAUCAAACCCUGACUUCACUUUGACCAUCAGUGGAGUUCAGGCUGAAGAUGCUGCAACUUAUCAUUGUAAAGGUGAAUUCCAGAUAAACGGUCAACUUCUGUUCACACAGUGA